GCACUUGCAAAUUCAGGUGCCGGGAUUCGCAACCCGCCGUGUGUACCGGCCAAUAACACGCCGAGAGCGUGUUUUUU
RNAcentral lists this small RNA (77 nucleotides) under Sodalis glossinidius str. 'morsitans'. RNAcentral's name for it is "isrK Hfq binding RNA". It matches the Rfam family "isrK Hfq binding RNA". The record is from Rfam by way of RNAcentral. Lineage: Bacteria; Pseudomonadati; Pseudomonadota; Gammaproteobacteria; Enterobacterales; Bruguierivoracaceae.